RNAcentral lists this ribosomal RNA (254 nucleotides) under uncultured bacterium. RNAcentral describes it as "partial 16S ribosomal RNA". It matches the Rfam family "Bacterial small subunit ribosomal RNA", at positions 524 to 776 of the family's 1533-position model. The record is from RNAcentral.
UACGGAGGGGGCUAGCGUUGUUCGGAAUUACUGGGCGUAAAGCGCACGUAGGCGGCUUUGUAAGUUAGAGGUGAAAGCCCGGAGCUCAACUCCGGAACUGCCUUUAAGACUGCAUCGCUUGAACGUCGGAGAGGUAAGUGGAAUUCCGAGUGUAGAGGUGAAAUUCGUAGAUAUUCGGAAGAACACCAGUGGCGAAGGCGGCUCACUGGACCGGUACUGGCGCUGAGGCGCGAAAGCGUGGGGGAGCAAACAGG